GCCUGGCUGGCUCAGUUGGUAGAGCACGCAACUCCUGAUCAUGGGGUUGUGAGUUCGAGCCCUAUGUUGGGUG
Molecule: transfer RNA, 73 nt
Filed under: Ailuropoda melanoleuca (giant panda)
Lineage: Eukaryota; Metazoa; Chordata; Mammalia; Carnivora; Ursidae
Rfam family: tRNA
About the family: Transfer RNA (tRNA) molecules are approximately 80 nucleotides in length. Their secondary structure includes four short double-helical elements and three loops (D, anti-codon, and T loops).
Source: Rfam by way of RNAcentral